GGGUGGAUCGGCCGCUUCCCCCACAGCUUUGUCCCAGGUAGACCCCAGUAGAGCUCCCAGGCUUUUCGGGUGCUUGAGUGCUGGCUUUAGUCAGAAUGUAGUUAGCCCGGGGUCUCCUGACCAUCAGUAUGUUGGAUGCUGUACGUGGAAGCCUCAUAAUCGGGCAAAAUACCCCAAAAUCAGGCUAUGUUUCAGGAGCUCAGGUUUUCCACGUCUAGUCGGCUCAGAGGUCAG
This is a non-coding RNA of Pelobates cultripes (western spadefoot toad), 234 nucleotides long. Lineage: Eukaryota; Metazoa; Chordata; Amphibia; Anura; Pelobatidae. The record is from the annotation of a GenBank genome assembly.